RNAcentral lists this non-coding RNA (24 nucleotides) under Arabidopsis thaliana (thale cress). Lineage: Eukaryota; Viridiplantae; Streptophyta; Magnoliopsida; Brassicales; Brassicaceae. The record is from RNAcentral.
ACCGACGACUUCUAAACUUCGCCU